UUGAUCCUGGCUCAGAAUCAACGCUGGCGGCGUGCCUAACACAUGCAAGUCGAACGCGAAAGCCCCGCAAGGGGUAAGUAGAGUGGCAGACGGGUGAGUUACGCGUGGGUGACCUACCUUCGAGUGGGGGAUAACGCCCCGAAAGGGACUCUAAUACCGCAUGACAUCCUGCCUUUGAACAGGUGGUGAUCAAAGCCGGUACCGCAAGGUCUGGCGCUUGAUGAGGGGCCCGCGUCCGAUUAGCUAGUUUGUGGGGUAAUGGCUCACCAAGGCGACGAUCGGUAGCCGGCCUAAGAGGGUGGACGGCCACACUGGGACUGAGACACGGCCCAGACUCCUACGGGAGGCAUCAGUGGGGAAUUGUUCGCAAUGGGCGCAAGCCUGACGACGCAACGCCGCUUGGAGGAUGAAGAUCUUCGGGUCGUAAACUCCUGUCGAGCGGGACGAAUUAUCUGCGACCUAAUACGUCGUAGAAGUGACGGUACCGCUAGAGGAAGCCUCGGCUAACUCCGUGCCAGCAGCCGCGGUAAUAAGGU
This 536-nucleotide ribosomal RNA is filed under the name uncultured Acidobacteriota bacterium. Its description in RNAcentral is "bacterial SSU rRNA". It matches the Rfam family "Bacterial small subunit ribosomal RNA", at positions 13 to 529 of the family's 1533-position model. Lineage: Bacteria; Pseudomonadati; Acidobacteriota. The record is from RNAcentral.